ACAAAUGUAGCUCAGUGGUACAGCAUUUAUCUAGCACAUGUAAGUCUCUGGGUUCAAUCCCCAGUACUGGGG
Molecule: transfer RNA, 72 nt
Filed under: Dipodomys ordii (Ord's kangaroo rat)
Lineage: Eukaryota; Metazoa; Chordata; Mammalia; Rodentia; Heteromyidae
Rfam family: tRNA
About the family: Transfer RNA (tRNA) molecules are approximately 80 nucleotides in length. Their secondary structure includes four short double-helical elements and three loops (D, anti-codon, and T loops). Further hydrogen bonds mediate the characteristic L-shaped molecular structure. tRNAs have two regions of fundamental functional importance: the anti-codon, which is responsible for specific mRNA codon recognition, and the 3' end, to which the tRNAs corresponding amino acid is attached (by aminoacyl-tRNA synthetases). tRNAs cope with the degeneracy of the genetic code in two manners: having more than one tRNA (with a specific anti-codon) for a particular amino acid; and 'wobble' base-pairing, i.e. permitting non-standard base-pairing at the 3rd anti-codon position.
Source: Rfam by way of RNAcentral